This is a long non-coding RNA of Cavia porcellus (domestic guinea pig), 792 nucleotides long. RefSeq lists it as uncharacterized. Lineage: Eukaryota; Metazoa; Chordata; Mammalia; Rodentia; Caviidae. The transcript has 2 exons. The record is from RefSeq and is a predicted model, not a curated record.
UAUAGAGAAGGUGUGGCCCUGUGAGUUCUGCACGGAACCUGGGAGCUUCCGGGAGCAAAUCUCAGCCGGCUGUUCUUGGCAGGCUCAGGCCGCGUCCGAACAGGCUAGGAACUCAAUGCGUAACUCAAGUGGCCUUGACUUCACUUUGUAGCCCAGGCUGGCUUCAAACUCAUGACAAUCCUCCUGCCUCAGCCUCCCAAGUACUGGGAUUACAAGCGUGUGCCACACCUGGCUCCACUAGAUUUUUAAGGAUGGGCUCUUUUACAAAUGAGACGAUGAAAAGUGUUCCCAUUAUGACACAAGUAAGAGAAGUCACAGUGCCAAAAGUAAGCUGCCCUUGGGCAACUCCAGGAGGCGGGAUGCAGAGCCAGAGAACAGGGGUUGUCACUGGACAGGUCAGAGAAGCCUCGAUAGGAAACCAGGCGGAAUAGGUAGCCCACGAGCAUUCUGGAUUCCUGCACGAAUGGAAGCCCACGAGCAUUCUGGAUUCCUGCACGAAGAUGAGGAGGAUUUAAAUGAGACUGAUAUGAUUGACAGGAACAGUAAACUGGAACAGGGAGGGACAAGAAGCAAGGUGAACAUCGAGCAGGGUGCUGAGGUCUGGGUACCACUCACCAUGACCUGGUAGGCGAUGGGACACUGGCAAGAGACUGGUGACCUCUACAAGAGACACAUGAAGAUUCUGCAGCAGGGGAACCCAGCGUGUCUGGAGGGGUUGGGAGGAGGUCAUCUUUGUUUCUUAUCCUGACAGUCACUAAUAAAUUUUGGUUUUGGUUUUAUUUUAAUGUUAAA